RNAcentral lists this ribosomal RNA (497 nucleotides) under uncultured bacterium. RNAcentral's name for it is "partial 16S ribosomal RNA". It matches the Rfam family "Bacterial small subunit ribosomal RNA", at positions 28 to 507 of the family's 1533-position model. The record is from RNAcentral.
GAUGAACGCUGGCGGCGUGCCUAACACAUGCAAGUCGAACGAAAGGACGAGUUGGGGGGUUUUCUGGUGGCAAAGGGGGGAGUAAGACUAAAACGUGGAGAACCUACCUAUAAGACUGGGAUAACUACGUGAAACCGGAGCUAAUACCGGAUAAUAUUUUGAACGGGGUGGUUCAAAAGCGAAAGAGGGUCUUGCUGGCACUGCGAGAUGGAUCCGCGGUGCAUUAGCAAGUUGGUAAGGUAACGGCUUACCAAGGCAACGAUGCAUAGCCGACCUGAGAGGGUGAUCGGCCACACUGGAACUGAGACACGGCCCAGACUCCUACGGGAGGCAGCAGUAGGGAAUCUUGCGCAAUGGGCGAAAGCCUGACGGAGCAACGCCGCGUGAAUGAUGAAGGUCUGCGGAUCGUAAAACUCUGUUAUUAGGGAAGAACAUAUUUGUAAGUAACUAUGCACAUCUUGACGGUACCUAAACAGAAAGCACCGGCUAACUACGUG